Acanthosepion pharaonis is the source of this 98-nucleotide non-coding RNA. Lineage: Eukaryota; Metazoa; Mollusca; Cephalopoda; Sepiida; Sepiidae. The record is from the annotation of a GenBank genome assembly.
GUUGAAACACUGGUUCUUGUAUAAUCACUGAAGUUAAGUAAAGUCGAGCCUGGUCAGUACCUAGAUGAGUGACCACUUGGGAAUACCAGUUGCUGCAA